GCAAGGAAUCUUGCGCAAUGGGCGAAAGCCUGACGCAGCAACGCCGCGUGGGGGAUGAAGGCCCUCGGGUCGUAAACCCCUUUUGUUGGGGAAGCAACUGACGGUACCCAGCGAAUAAGCCACGGCUAACUACGUGCCAGCAGCCGCGGUAAUACGUAGGUGGCAAGCGUUGUCCGGAUUUACUGGGCGUAAAGCGCACGCAGGUGGCCUGUCAAGUCCAGGGUGAAAUCUCCCGGCUCAACCGGGAGCGGUCUCUGGAUACUGGCAGGCUUGAGGGCAGCAGAGGAGAGCAGAAUUCCCGGUGUAGCGGUGAUAUGCGUAGAUAUCGGGAGGAAUACCAGUGGCGAAGGCGGCUCUCUGGGCUGUCCCUGACGCUGAGGUGCGAAAGCGUGGGGAGCAAACCGGAUUAGAAACCCGUGUAGUCC
Molecule: ribosomal RNA, 425 nt
Filed under: uncultured bacterium
Lineage: Bacteria
Description: bacterial SSU rRNA
Rfam family: Bacterial small subunit ribosomal RNA
Source: RNAcentral